GCACUGGACUUUGAAUUUGCUUGUGUAGGAUAGGUGGGAGGCUUUGAAGCGUGGACGCCAGUUCGCGUGGAGCCAUCCUUGAAAUACCACCCUGGCAACUUUGAGGUUCUAACUCAGGUCCGUUAUCCGGAUCGAGGACAGUGUAUGGUGGGUAGUUUGACUGGGGCGGUCUCCUCCUAAAGAGUAACGGAGGAGUACGAAGGUGCGCUCAGACCGGUCGGAAAUCGGUCGUAGAG
RNAcentral lists this ribosomal RNA (236 nucleotides) under Priestia megaterium. RNAcentral's name for it is "Bacillus megaterium partial 23S ribosomal RNA". It matches the Rfam family "Bacterial large subunit ribosomal RNA", at positions 2114 to 2349 of the family's 2925-position model. The record is from RNAcentral. Lineage: Bacteria; Bacillati; Bacillota; Bacilli; Caryophanales; Bacillaceae.